CCCAUACAAAGUUAUUUACCCAUUAUCUAAGAAAUGGGUUUGCCUUUCUAUUACCACUCUUACACCAGAAUGAUUGCAGAAUAAUUAAUGCAAUCCCCCUCCCAAAAAAGGGAGGAAAUAAGAAAGCACAACUAUAUAUAUUUGCAGCAGUACACAAGGUUAGCAAAUCACAGCUUGGUUUCAUUUUCACCUGUAUCAAAGAGCCCUUUGUGAAAAUCGAAAGAAAAGAUACUGUGAACAGCAAGUGACCCUGAUUUCCAACUCUUGACUGCAAGCCCUCCGUUUCCA
Molecule: long non-coding RNA, 288 nt
Organism: Crotalus tigris (Tiger rattlesnake)
Lineage: Eukaryota; Metazoa; Chordata; Lepidosauria; Squamata; Viperidae
Exons: 2
Source: RefSeq, a predicted model, not a curated record